UACGUAGGGUGCGAGCGUUGUCCGGAAUUAUUGGGCGUAAAGAGCUCGUAGGCGGUUUGUCGCGUCUGCUGUGAAAUCCCGAGGCUCAACCUCGGGUCUGCAGUGGGUACGGGCAGACUGGAGUGCGGUAGGGGAGAAUGGAAUUCCUGGUGUAGCGGUGGAAUGCGCAGAUAUCAGGAGGAACACCGAUGGCGAAGGCAGUUCUCUGGGCCGUAGCUGACGCUGAGGAGCGAAAGCGUGGGGAGCGAACAGG
RNAcentral lists this ribosomal RNA (253 nucleotides) under uncultured bacterium. RNAcentral describes it as "partial 16S ribosomal RNA". It matches the Rfam family "Bacterial small subunit ribosomal RNA", at positions 524 to 776 of the family's 1533-position model. The record is from RNAcentral.